RNAcentral lists this ribosomal RNA (582 nucleotides) under Salmonella enterica. Its description in RNAcentral is "partial 23S ribosomal RNA". It matches the Rfam family "Bacterial large subunit ribosomal RNA", at positions 711 to 1290 of the family's 2925-position model. Lineage: Bacteria; Pseudomonadati; Pseudomonadota; Gammaproteobacteria; Enterobacterales; Enterobacteriaceae. The record is from RNAcentral. RNAcentral also lists the same sequence under 1 other name.
AGACCCGAAACCCGGUGAUCUAGCCAUGGGCAGGUUGAAGGUUGGGUAACACUAACUGGAGGACCGAACCGACUAAUGUUGAAAAAUUAGCGGAUGACCUGUGGCUGGGGGUGAAAGGCCAAUCAAACCGGGAGAUAGCUGGUUCUCCCCGAAAGCUAUUUAGGUAGCGCCUCGUGAAUUCAUCUCCGGGGGUAGAGCACUGUUUCGGCUAGGGGGCCAUCCCGGCUUACCAACCCGAUGCAAACUGCGAAUACCGGAGAAUGUUAUCACGGGAGACACACGGCGGGUGCUAACGUCCGUCGUGAAGAGGGAAACAACCCAGACCGCCAGCUAAGGUCCCAAAGUCAUGGUUAAGUGGGAAACGAUGUGGGAAGGCCCAGACAGCCAGGAUGUUGGCUUAGAAGCAGCCAUCAUUUAAAGAAAGCGUAAUAGCUCACUGGUCGAGUCGGCCUGCGCGGAAGAUGUAACGGGGCUAAACCAUGCACCGAAGCUGCGGCAGCGACACUGUGUGUUGUUGGGUAGGGGAGCGUUCUGUAAGCCUGUGAAGGUGUGUCGUGAGGCAUGCUGGAGGUAUCAGAAGUG